This 1075-nucleotide ribosomal RNA is filed under the name Cystodendron sp. CRG-2008. RNAcentral describes it as "SSU rRNA". It matches the Rfam family "Eukaryotic small subunit ribosomal RNA", at positions 20 to 1104 of the family's 1831-position model. Lineage: Eukaryota; Fungi; Ascomycota; Leotiomycetes; Helotiales; Mollisiaceae. The record is from RNAcentral.
GUAGUCAUAUGCUUGUCUCAAAGAUUAAGCCAUGCAUGUCUAAGUAUAAGCAAUCUAUACCGUGAAACUGCGAAUGGCUCAUUAAAUCAGUUAUCGUUUAUUUGAUAGUACCUUACUACUUGGAUAACCGUGGUAAUUCUAGAGCUAAUACAUGCUAAAAACCUCGACUUCGGAAGGGGUGUAUUUAUUAGAUAAAAAACCAAUGCCCUUCGGGGCUCCUUGGUGAUUCAUAAUAACUUAACGAAUCGCAUGGCCUUGUGCCGGCGAUGGUUCAUUCAAAUUUCUGCCCUAUCAACUUUCGAUGGUAUGGUCUUGGCUUACCAUGGUUUCAACGGGUAACGGGGAAUUAGGGUUCUAUUCCGGAGAGGGAGCCUGAGAAACGGCUACCACAUCCAAGGAAGGCAGCAGGCGCGCAAAUUACCCAAUCCCGACACGGGGAGGUAGUGACAAUAAAUACUGAUACAGGGCUCUUUUGGGUCUUGUAAUUGGAAUGAGUACAAUUUAAAUCCCUUAACGAGGAACAAUUGGAGGGCAAGUCUGGUCCAGCAGCCGCGGUAAUUCCAGCUCCAAUAGCGUAUAUUAAAGUUGUUGCAGUUAAAAAGCUCGUAGUUGAACCUUGGGCCUGGUUGGCCGGUCCGCCUCACCGCGUGCACUGGUCCGACCGGGUCUUUCCUUCUGAGGAGCCGCAUGCCCUUCACUGGGUGUGUCGGGGAAUCAGGACUUUUACUUUGAAAAAAUUAGAGUGUUCAAAGCAGGCCUAUGCUCGAAUACAUUAGCAUGGAAUAAUAGAAUAGGACGUGUGGUUCUAUUUUGUUGGUUUCUAGGACCGCCGUAAUGAUUAAUAGGGAUAGUCGGGGGCAUCAGUAUUAAAUUGUCAGAGGUGAAAUUCUUGGAUUUAUUUAAGACUAACUACUGCGAAAGCAUUUGCCAAGGAUGUUUUCAUUAAUCAGUGAACGAAAGUUAGGGGAUCGAAGACGAUUAGAUACCGUCGUAGUCUUAACCAUAAACUAUGCCGACUAGGGAUCGGGCGAUGUUAUCUUUUUGACUCGCUCGGCACCUUACGAGAAAUCAAAGU